Molecule: transfer RNA, 71 nt
Filed under: Marmota monax (woodchuck)
Lineage: Eukaryota; Metazoa; Chordata; Mammalia; Rodentia; Sciuridae
Description: tRNA.Ala
Source: RNAcentral
GUGGUUGUGGCUCCGUGGUAAAGUGCUUGCCUAGCAUGUGUGAGGCACUGGGUUCUAUCCUCAGCACCACA